RNAcentral lists this long non-coding RNA (1491 nucleotides) under Sus scrofa (pig). Its description in RNAcentral is "lncRNA (ENSSSCG00025024559.1, ENSSSCG00035043539.1)". Lineage: Eukaryota; Metazoa; Chordata; Mammalia; Artiodactyla; Suidae. The record is from RNAcentral.
AGGAGAAUCAUUUUGCAUUGUAAGAGUGUCUUAGGUUCUUUUAGAUAGACAGAAAAAAAAGGUCAUGCAAAUUGUGAGUUUUAACUGUAAUCACAUGCUAAUUGAGGGACUGUCAAAGGUUUGCCCCAGAAGGACCUUUUCAAAGAGGUUAAAAACUUAUUCUAAUUAACAUACAAAUUGAGGCUUACAACCCAAAGAAGGCAAAACCCUCUACUCUUAAAGCAAACCCUAUCUAUAGAUGUCACAGAAAAGAAAUGUUUGCUUCUUUCUUGAAUGAAAAGGAAUUUUCCAUAUUGGAAAACUGGGGGUACAGUGAGAGAGGGGGAGACAAAGAGACAGAGAUCCAGGUAAAGAACCUGAUUAAGGCAGGCAGAACAUGACAAAGAUCAACCGAGGAGGAAUACAAGUAAGCGUGCCAAAUACAACAGUUCCCUCCUUUGAUGAGUGAGCUGGUGGGGGAUGGAGGUAGCUUCAGGAACCUUCCCCCGGCCGCCUGGGAGUCUGAAUAUCACAGCUGCUGCUCCUCUAUUCAGGGAAUGAUGAAUUAGCCACUGCUUAUCAGGCAACUAACAGAGCCAGCAAUAAAAAGAUUGCAAAGACACUGUCAGAAACAGCCCUUUUGAAACCGGAAACAAAGUUUUGGCCAGAGGUGAACAUGCACUCAUAUGUCUGAAAAAAGAAGUUUUUAAGAGGCUGGGGGUGGUGGUGGUGGGGGCAGCGCGUGGCGGCACCGACUACAGGUCUUUUAUUUUAGAAACAUAUCCACUUCAGUUGGUGAUUUUUCUGUCUUAAAGACCACCUUGGACUGCUACAUAGCUAAUAUGACCGGACAGCAAAGAGCUGUUUAAAACUGUCUAAAAUGUUAAGUGGGUGGGUAUCUACAGAUAAUCCCUGGCCCAGGGUUUCAAGUCUAAGGCUGCUUCAUUUUCAUAUGGUGACAGGGUAACCUGGAUUGCAGCAAGGCAGCAAGAAUAAGAAGGAAUACCUCGGGGAGAGAGAAAGGAUAAAUGAGAGAGGAGAAAGAGAGAAAACAGAAAUGAAAGCCAAACAAAAAAAUACAAUUAAAGUGACUUACUUUGUUGAUGCCAAUUUGGGCCAGUUAGCAAAACCACAGCAUUAUCAUUUGUCAAAGACGCAACAAAGGGUGGAUUUAAACAUCAAAGUUAGAUAUGUCCCUAAACCUGACCUGCUAAAGCCAAAUCAGCAUAUUAUUUCAAAGCCCUCUUACCUGGCAGCUGGUGCUAUGCUAGAAUGCUUUCCUUGGAAUUCCUAUCCUGGCGCAGCGGUAAUGAACCUGACUAGGAUCUAUGAGGACAUGGGUUCGACCCCUGGCCUCGCUUGGAGGGUCAAGGAUCCAGCCUUGCUGUGAGCUGUGGUGCAGGUUGCAGACUCGGCUCAGAUCCUACGUUGCUGUGGAUGUGGUAUAGGCUGGCAGCUGUAGCUCCAAUCGAUCCCUAGCCUGAGAAUUUCCAUAUGUCGCAGGUGCAGCCC